CUUUAUUGGGAAUGUUUUCAACCUGGAUGCUAAACAACCACAUAUUCAAUUAACUAAGGUAACUCACAGCCUCUUGUUGUGGUUUCUAAGUCUGAUCGUAUAAAGUAUUUCAAAUUAGGCUUGGUAUCCUAAUCCCUGUAACCGUGAGUAUUUUUCCCAUUUUUUUUUUCAUGUUGUCUCUUUCCCUGCAGAUGUCAGACCGUUUAUGGCAACAUUUUCAGCUUGCGUCUGGGAAGCUUAAACACUGUUGUUGUGAAUACCUACAGCCUGGUCAAGAAAGCUCUUAUUGACCAUGCAAACAUUUUCACAGGCGUCCAACCAAUGAUGUUCUCAAAAGAAUAAUCAAGUGCCAAGGUAUACAUUAAUGUUGGGAGAAUAACUUUAAAUGAUAUUCUAACACUCCCUAAAUAUCACAUCUUUCAUGAAAUGUCUGGCAACAGGUGUAACCUUCAAUAAUGGCUACAGUUGGAAGCAACAGAGCGGUUCACUCUCAGUACUCUUAAAUACUUUGGUGUGGGAAAGAGGAGCCUGGAAGUCAUCAUCAUGGAAGAGUACAAAUACCUUCACCAGACCAUCAUGGAAACCAAUGGGCUGCCAUUCGACCCUCAUUACUUUAUUAACAAUGCUGUCUCCAACAUCAUCUGCUCCAUGGUAUUUGGGAGGAGGUUUGAGUACACUGACCAAAGGUUUCUGAACAUGCUCAGUCUUGAUGUCUAAAGCCCUUAAACUACAAACGUCUGUGUGGAUACAGGUAUUAUGAGAUGAAAAUAUAUAGUGGUCUGUCAUAGGACUUCCUAAAAUUUCCACUUAAGGUGCAACAAAAUGCAUUAUUUGAAACAACUAAUAAAUUAAAGGUGCCCACCAAGCGACCUGCUGUCUUGUCCAUUGUAGCUUUACAGUGUUUUCCCUUAUGUUAUGGAACCCCUCCCGGACCUCAUAAAGACCUGUUUCCUGCUCCAUCAAGUUUGUGCUUUUAUAAAGGAAGAGGUGGACAAGCA
Carassius auratus (goldfish) is the source of this 998-nucleotide long non-coding RNA. NCBI's taxonomy places the organism in Eukaryota, Metazoa, Chordata, Actinopteri, Cypriniformes, Cyprinidae. The record is from Ensembl.